Pelobates cultripes (western spadefoot toad) is the source of this 211-nucleotide non-coding RNA. NCBI's taxonomy places the organism in Eukaryota, Metazoa, Chordata, Amphibia, Anura, Pelobatidae. The record is from the annotation of a GenBank genome assembly.
CACAUACAGACACACAUCCUGACACACAGAUGCACACACUGACACACAUGCAGAUACACACAUUUGAUACUUACAGAUACAUGCACAGGUAUACACACUGGCACACACACAGAUACAUACAUAUUACAACAUACAGAUACACACAUUGGCUACAUACAGAUACAUGCACAGACAUAAACAUUGGCACACACACAGAUACUGACACAUACAC